RNAcentral lists this ribosomal RNA (402 nucleotides) under uncultured bacterium. RNAcentral's name for it is "partial 16S ribosomal RNA". It matches the Rfam family "Bacterial small subunit ribosomal RNA", at positions 355 to 774 of the family's 1533-position model. The record is from RNAcentral.
UGGGGAAUAUUGGACAAUGGGCGAAAGCCUGAUCCAGCCAUGCCGCGUGUGUGAAGAAGGUCUUCGGAUUGUAAAGCUCUUUUAGUGAGGAAGAUAAUGACGGUACUCACAGAAGAAGUCCUGGCUAACUCCGUGCCAGCAGCCGCGGUAAUACGGAGAGGGCUAGCGUUAUUCGGAAUUAUUGGGCGUAAAGGGCGCGUAGGCUGAUUAAUAAGUUAAAAGUGAAAUCCCGAGGCUUAACCUUGGAAUUGCUUUUAAAACUAUUAAUCUAGAGAUUGAAAGAGGAUAGGGGAAUUCCUGAUGUAGAGGUAAAAUUCGUAAAUAUUAGGAGGAACACCAGUGGCGAAGGCGUCUAUCUGGUUCAAAUCUGACGCUGAGGCGCGAAGGCGUGGGGAGCAAACA